UCCAUUGAUUGAUGGUGCUUGCACCUGAUUGAUUUUGGUCGCCAACGAGUGGCGGACAGGUGAGUAACACGUAGGUAACCUGCCCAGAAGCGGGGGACAACAUUUGGAAACAGAUGCUAAUACCGCAUAACAGCGUUGUUCGCAUGAACAACGCUUAAAAGAUGGCUUCUCGCUAUCACUUCUGGAUGGACCUGCGGUGCAUUAGCUUGUUGGUGGGGUAAUGGCCUACCAAGGCGAUGAUGCAUAGCCGAGUUGAGAGACUGAUCGGCCACAAUGGGACUGAGACACGGCCCAUACUCCUACGGGAGGCAGCAGUAGGGAAUCUUCCACAAUGGGCGCAAGCCUGAUGGAGCAACACCGCGUGAGUGAAGAAGGGUUUCGGCUCGUAAAGCUCUGUUGUUAAAGAAGAACACGUAUGAGAGUAACUGUUCAUACGUUGACGGUAUUUAACCAGAAAGUCACGGCUAACUACGUGCCAGCAGCCGCGGUAAUACGUAGGUGGCAAGCGUUAUCCGGAUUUAUUGGGCGUAAAGAGAGCGCAGGCGGUUUUCUAAGUCUGAUGUGAAAGCCUUCGGCUUAACCGGAGAAGUGCAUCGGAAACUGGAUAACUUGAGUGCAGAAGAGGGUAGUGGAACUCCAUGUGUAGCGGUGGAAUGCGUAGAUAUAUGGAAGAACACCAGUGGCGAAGGCGGCUACCUGGUCUGCAACUGACGCUGAGACUCGAAAGCAUGGGUAGCGAACAGGAUUAGAUACCCUGGUAGUCCAUGCCGUAAACGAUGAGUGCUAGGUGUUGGAGGGUUUCCGCCCUUCAGUGCCGGAGCUAACGCAUUAAGCACUCCG
Molecule: ribosomal RNA, 840 nt
Filed under: uncultured bacterium
Lineage: Bacteria
Description: bacterial SSU rRNA
Rfam family: Bacterial small subunit ribosomal RNA
Source: RNAcentral